RNAcentral lists this ribosomal RNA (1791 nucleotides) under Haplosporidium costale. RNAcentral's name for it is "Eukaryotic small subunit ribosomal RNA". It matches the Rfam family "Eukaryotic small subunit ribosomal RNA". The record is from Rfam by way of RNAcentral. Lineage: Eukaryota; Endomyxa; Ascetosporea; Haplosporida; Haplosporidiidae.
AACCUGGUUGAUCCUGCCAGUAGUCAUAUGCUUAGCUCAAAGAUUAAGCCAUGCAUGUCUAAGUAUAAACACGUUUGUACUGUGAAACUGCAGAUGGCUCAUUACAACAGUUACAGUUUAUUUGACAAUUGAGCAUUACCGGAUACCCGUAGUAACUCUAGGGCUAAUACGUGACAAAACCUCUCUCGAGGCGUGCAUAUUAGCUUAAAACCAAUUCUGGUUGCAACCAUAAUAUUCUGUCGGAUCGCGUUGACCUCGUCAGCGACAUGUCAUUCAAGUUUCUGACCUAUCAGCUCGUGACGGUAGACUAUUGGCCUACCGUGGCUUUGACGGGUAACGGGGAAUCAGGGUUCGAUUCCGGAGAGGCAGCCUGAGAAACGGCUACCACAUCCACGGAAGGCAGCAGGUGCGCAAAUUACCCAAUCCUGACACAGGGAAGUAGUGACAAGCAAUAACGAUGAUCAGCUUACAGUUGAAAUUCGGAAUGAGAACAAUGUAAAAGCCUUAUCGACCACCAAGUGGAGGGCAAGCCUGGUGCCAGCAGCCGCGUAAUACCAGCUCCACUAGCGUAUACUAAAGUUGCUGCUGUUAAAACGCUCGUAGUUGGAUAUCAGUCCGGGAGGGGCACGGGCUCCGCCGCGCGUAUGCCGCUCAGUCUCGAUCCCUGGCUCCCGCCCGGCCCCCCUGACUUAAUUCAGAGCUGCCCAUCUGCUCGGUCAAACGGGUCGGGCGGGCGUGUUCUGAUCUAUUACUUUGAGAAAAUUAAAGUGCUCAAAGCAGGCAGGCGCCUGAAUGCAUUAGCAUGGAAUAAUAAAACACGACUUUGGCAGUUAGUUUUGUUGGUUUUUGGGCCGGAGUAAUGAUUGAUAGAAACAAUUGGGGGUGCUAGUAUCGCCAGGCCAGAGGUAAAAUCCUUUGAUUCUGGUGAGACUACCUUAUGCGAAAGCAUUCACCAAGCGUGUUUUCUUUAAUCAAGAACUAGAGCCGGGGGAUCGAAGACGAUCAGAUACCGUCGUAGUCCCAGCCAUAAACGAUGUCGACUAAGCAUUGGGCAAUCAGACUUCCUCAGCGCUUUGUGAGAAAUCAAAGUUUUCGGACUCAGGGGGAGUAUGCUCGCAAGAGUGAAAUUUAAAGGAAUUGACGGAAGGGCACCACCAGUUGUGGACUGGGCGGCUCAAUUUGACUCAACACGGGAAAACUUACCAGGUCCAGACAUAGUCAGGAUUGACAGAUUGAAGUUCUUUCAUGAUUCUAUGAAUAGUGGUGCAUGGCCGUUCUUAGUUGGUGGAGUGAUUUGUCUGGUUAAUUCCGAUAACGAACGAGACCUCAGCCGUCUAACUAGCUGUCGCUAGCGAUGUACUGCUAGCGCUUGUUCGCAAGAUCAGCUUCUUAGAGGGACAAUCUGUGCUCAGCAGAUGGAAGCUUGAGGCUAUAACAGGUCAGUGAUGCCCUUAGAAGGUCUGGGCUGCACGCGCGCUACAAUGACCCAGUCAGCGGGCCGACCCGAGCCUGAGAAGGCGAGGUAAUCCCCAAACUGGGUCCAAGUUGGGAUAGAUGAUUGCAAUUAUUCAUCUUGAACAAGGAAUAUCUAGUAAACGCAAGUCAUCAACUUGCAUUGAUUACGUCCCUGCCCUUUGUACACACCGCCCGUCGCUCCUACCGAUUGAAUAAUCAGAUGAACUGAGUGGAUGGGCGUAGUCCUUUACGCCCCCAAAGCUCCGUGAAUCUUAUUAUUUAGAGGAAGGAAAAGUCGUAACAAGGUUACCGUAGGUGAACCUGCAGAAGGAUCAA